AUUCCAGCUCCAAUAGCGUAUAUUAAAGUUGUUGCAGUUAAAAAGCUCGUAGUUGAACUUUGGGCUUGGUCAGCCGGUCCGCUUUUAUGCGUGUACUGGUCCUGACCGAGCCUUUCCUUCUGGCUAACCUGUCUCUCGGGGCAGGCGAACCAGGACUUUUACUUUGAAAAAAUUAGAGUGUUCAAAGCAGGCCUUUGCUCGAAUAUAUUAGCAUGGAAUAAUAGAAUAGGACGUUUGGUUCUAUUUUGUUGGUUUCUAGGACCAUCGUAAUGAUUAAUAGGGACGGUCGGGGGCAUCAGUAUUCAAUUGUCAGAGGUGAAAUUCUUGGAUUUAUUGAAGACUAACUACUGCGAAAGCAUUUGCCAAGGACGUUUUCAUCA
Molecule: ribosomal RNA, 380 nt
Filed under: Wickerhamomyces sp.
Lineage: Eukaryota; Fungi; Ascomycota; Saccharomycetes; Phaffomycetales; Wickerhamomycetaceae
Description: partial small subunit ribosomal RNA
Rfam family: Eukaryotic small subunit ribosomal RNA
Source: RNAcentral